CUCCUCUGUUCCUGCUGCACCAUUUGGUGCCUGGACUGUGAACUGUUUCUCCAGGUGACACUCCUCAGGACGAGGAGACCAACUCUCGCUGGGACUGGUUGCAUGGUUCUGGAUCCCCACUGUCAGCCUUCCGCACACCAUCUUACUACCUGCUUGCCGUCUGCUGCGAGCCUGAGCCUCACUACGACGGUAGUACUGCACGUCGGACCAGUGAUCUCCUGUGCCAGCUCCCACACCUCCCCCUGGACUGUGUUCUUAGCCUACGAUGCUCACCUGCCUAGAGCCACCAUCUGCGCCUCUCCUACAACCUUGGGUUGUAGCUCUAGCAGUCCAGUCAUCCCAGCACUCCCCGCUGCCCUGAGAUCGGCUGACGUGACCAGUUCUGACCACUUCUCAGUUCUGUUAUUAAAAUACAUUUACCUGGUCAAGCCUGAG
Long non-coding RNA from Monopterus albus (swamp eel), 435 nucleotides. RefSeq lists it as uncharacterized. The transcript is spliced from 3 exons. The record is from RefSeq and is a predicted model, not a curated record. Lineage: Eukaryota; Metazoa; Chordata; Actinopteri; Synbranchiformes; Synbranchidae.